RNAcentral lists this ribosomal RNA (823 nucleotides) under marine metagenome. RNAcentral's name for it is "bacterial SSU rRNA". It matches the Rfam family "Bacterial small subunit ribosomal RNA", at positions 8 to 839 of the family's 1533-position model. The record is from RNAcentral.
AGAGUUUGAUCCUGGCUCAGGACGAACGCUGGCGGUGCGCCUUAUGCAUGCAAGUCGAGCGAAGCUUUUCAGUAGUUUACUACAGAAAAUGACUGAGCGGCGAACGGGUGAGUAACGCGUGAGCAACCUACCUUAGUUACUGGGAUAGCCCGAGGAAACUCGGAUUAAUACCGGAUAUUCUUAUUUAAUCACAUGAUUUUUUAAGGAAAGGUCAGCCGAACUAAGAUGGGCUCGCGUUCUAUCAGCUAGUUGGUAGGGUAAUAGCCUACCAAGGCUACGACGGAUAGCUGGUCUGAGAGGACGAUCAGCCACACUGGGACUGAGACACGGCCCAGACUCCUACGGGAGGCUGCAGCAGGGAAUAUUGCGCAAUGAGCGAAAGCUUGACGCAGCGACACCGCGUGUGGGAUGACGGAUCUAGGUUUGUAAACCACUUUCAGGAGGGAAGAAAAUGACGGUACCUCCACAAGAAGCCCCGGCCAACUACGUGCCAGCAGCCGCGGUAAUACGUAGGGGGCGAGCGUUGUCCGGAUUUAUUGGGCGUAAAGAGCUCGUAGGCGGUUCAACAAGUCGGUCGUGAAAGUUCAGGGCUCAACCCUGAAAUGUCGAUCGAUACUGUUGUGACUAGGAUACGGUAGAGGUGAGUGGAAUUCCGAGUGUAGCGGUGAAAUGCGUAGAUAUUCGGAGGAACACCAAUUGCGAAGGCAGCUCACUGGGCCGCUAUCGACGCUGAGGAGCGAAAGCUAGGGGAGCAAACAGGAUUAGAUACCCUGGUAGUCCUAGCUGUAAACGAUGGAUACUAGACGUAGGAAUUGGAUUAACG